UGUUGGGUAGGGGAGCGUUCUGUAAGCCUGCGAAGGUGGCCUGUGAGGGUUGCUGGAGGUAUCAGAAGUGCGAAUGCUGACAUAAGUAACGAUAAAGCGGGUGAAAAGCCCGCUCGCCGGAAGACCAAGGGUUCCUGUCCAACGUUAAUCGGGGCAGGGUGAGUCGACCCCUAAGGCGAGGCCGAAAGGCGUAGUCGAUGGGAAACGGGUUAAUAUUCCCGUACUUGGUGUUACUGCGAAGGGGGGACGGAGAAGGCUAUGUUGGCCGGGCGACGGUUGUCCCGGUUUAAGCGUGUAGGUGUGUGUUCCAGGUAAAUCCGGUUCACUUUAACACUGAGGCGUGACGACGAGGCACUACGGUGCUGAAGCAACAAAUGCCCUGCUUCCAGGAAAAGCCUCUAAGCAUCAGGUAACAUCAAAUCGUACCCCAAACCGACACAGGUGGUCAGGUAGAGAAUACCAAGGCGCUUGAGAGAACUCGGGUGAAGGAACUAGGCAAAAUGGUGCCGUAACUUCGGGAGAAGGCACGCUGACACGUAGGUGAAGUGAUUUACUCAUGGAGCUGAAGUCAGUCGAAGAUACCAGCUGGCUGCAACUGUUUAUUAAAAACACAGCACUGUGCAAACACGAAAGUGGACGUAUACGGUGUGACGCCUGCCCGGUGCCGGAAGGUUAAUUGAUGGGGUCAGCGCAAGCGAAGCUCCUGAUCGAAGCCCCGGUAAACGGCGGCCGUAACUAUAACGGUCCUAAGGUAGCGAAAUUCCUUGUCGGGUAAGUUCCGACCUGCACGAAUGGCGUAAUGAUGGCCAGGCUGUCUCCACCCGAGACUCAGUGAAAUUGAACUCGCUGUGAAGAUGCAGUGUACCCGCGGCAAGACGGAAAGACCCCGUGAACCUUUACUAUAGCUUGACACUGAACAUUGAGCCUUGAUGUGUAGGAUAGGUGGGAGGCUUUGAAGUGUGGACGCCAGUCUGCAUGGAGCCGACCUUGAAAUACCACCCUUUAAUGUUUGAUGUUCUAACGUGGACCCGUUACCCGGGUUGCGGACAGUGUCUGGUGGGUAGUUUGACUGGGGCGGUCUCCUCCUAAAGAGUAACGGAGGAGCACGAAGGUUGGCUAAUCCUGGUCGGACAUCAGGAGGUUAGUGCAAUGGCAUAAGCCAGCUUGACUGCGAGCGUGACGGCGCGAGCAGGUGCGAAAGCAGGUCAUAGUGAUCCGGUGGUUCUGAAUGGAAGGGCCAUCGCUCAACGGAUAAAAGGUACUCCGGGGAUAACAGGCUGAUACCGCCCAAGAGUUCAUAUCGACGGCGGUGUUUGGCACCUCGAUGUCGGCUCAUCACAUCCUGGGGCUGAAGUAGGUCCCAAGGGUAUGGCUGUUCGCCAUUUAAAGUGGUACGCGAGCUGGGUUUAGAACGUCGUGAGACAGUUCGGUCCCUAUCUGCCGUGGGCGCUGGAGAACUGAGGGGGGCUGCUCCUAGUACGAGAGGACCGGAGUGGACGCAUCACUGGUGUUCGGGUUGUCAUGCCAAUGGCACUGCCCGGUAGCUAAAUGCGGAAGAGAUAAGUGCUGAAAGCAUCUAAGCACGAAACUUGCCCCGAG
This 1599-nucleotide ribosomal RNA is filed under the name Salmonella enterica subsp. enterica serovar Enteritidis. RNAcentral describes it as "partial 23S ribosomal RNA". It matches the Rfam family "Bacterial large subunit ribosomal RNA", at positions 1222 to 2803 of the family's 2925-position model. The record is from RNAcentral. Lineage: Bacteria; Pseudomonadati; Pseudomonadota; Gammaproteobacteria; Enterobacterales; Enterobacteriaceae.